GUUUGUAAAGAGAAAUGUUAAAAGAAAGUUAUGUAAAUACAGAGAUUAGCAGGUCCCUGCGCAAGGAUGACACCCAAAUUUGUGAAGUGUUCAUAUUUUUU
This is a non-coding RNA of Myotis davidii, 101 nucleotides long. The record is from Rfam. Lineage: Eukaryota; Metazoa; Chordata; Mammalia; Chiroptera; Vespertilionidae.